GAUGAACGCUGGCGGCGUGCUUAACACAUGCAAGUCGAACGGAAAGGCCCAAGCUUGCUUGGGUACUCGAGUGGCGAACGGGUGAGUAACACGUGGGUGAUCUGCCCUGCACUUCGGGAUAAGCCUGGGAAACUGGGUCUAAUACCGGAUAGGACGAUGGUUUGGAUGCCAUUGUGGAAAGUUUUUUCGGUGUGGGAUGAGCUCGCGGCCUAUCAGCUUGUUGGUGGGGUAAUGGCCUACAAGGCGUCGACGGGUAGCCGGCCUGAGAGGGUGUACGGCCACAUUGGGACUGAGAUACGGCCCAGACUCCUACGGGAGGCAGCAGUGGGGAAUAUUGCACAAUGGGCGCAAGCCUGAUGCAGCGACGCCGCGUGGGGGAUGACGGCCUUCGGGUUGUAAACUCCUUUCGCUAGGGACGAAGCGUUUUUGUGACGGUACCUGGAGAAGAAGCACCGGCUAACUACGUG
RNAcentral lists this ribosomal RNA (467 nucleotides) under uncultured bacterium. Its description in RNAcentral is "partial 16S ribosomal RNA". It matches the Rfam family "Bacterial small subunit ribosomal RNA", at positions 28 to 507 of the family's 1533-position model. The record is from RNAcentral.